This 454-nucleotide ribosomal RNA is filed under the name uncultured bacterium. RNAcentral describes it as "partial 16S ribosomal RNA". It matches the Rfam family "Bacterial small subunit ribosomal RNA", at positions 28 to 507 of the family's 1533-position model. The record is from RNAcentral.
GAUGAACGCUGACAGAAUGCUUAACACAUGCAAGUCUACUUGAACUUCGGUUUGGGUGGCGGACGGGUGAGUAACGCGUAAAGAACUUGCCUCACAGAUAGGGACAACAUUUGGAAACGAAUGCUAAUACCUGAUAUUAUGAUUUUAGGGCAUCCUAGAAUUAUGAAAGCUAUAUGCACUGUGAGAGAGCUUUGCGUCCCAUUAGCUAGUUGGAGAGGUAACGGCUCACCAAGGCGAUGAUGGGUAGCCGGCCUGAGAGGGUGAUCGGCCACAAGGGGACUGAGACACGGCCCUUACUCCUACGGGAGGCAGCAGUGGGGAAUAUUGGACAAUGGACCAAGAGUCUGAUCCAGCAAUUCUGUGUGCAUGAUGAAGUUUUUCGGAAUGUAAAGUGCUUUCAGUUGGGAAGAAAAAAAUGACGGUACCAACAGAAGAAGUGACGGCUAAAUACGUG